RNAcentral lists this ribosomal RNA (342 nucleotides) under Triticum aestivum (bread wheat). Its description in RNAcentral is "partial small subunit ribosomal RNA". The record is from RNAcentral. Lineage: Eukaryota; Viridiplantae; Streptophyta; Magnoliopsida; Poales; Poaceae.
AUGGCGCGAGGAGUGGACGCCGAGCAGCAGCACCCCAUGGCGGAGCAGGUGAAGGAGUAUCAGGCGCGAUCCAAGCAAGCCUGGGCAACCGCAUCCUUCUUCUCCUCCACCUCCGCCUCCACGGCCGGCUCCUCGUGGGUUGAGGUGCUCCUCGUGAUAUGUGAACUUGCUUUGUAUGCUCUACUAGUGUUCGCGUGUAUUGCUUUUUAUUUCAGGUCCAUAGGAAUAGCUUUAUCCUUUACAUGUAUUUCUGCACUUCUUUAUCUGUGCAUGAGAUUAACCAAGGAAGAGAGGAAGCACAAGAAAAGUAAGCAAAGAAUGCUUCUUCCAUUGUCAAUGUAA